CAGACACUCACCGUUCCCAAUUCAUUUCUCACACUCUCUACUCUUCCUCCAUCAAUGGCGUCCUCAAUUUUACUAUCACUUCCAUUUCUCCCUCCUCCUUCAACAUCAAACCCUAAACCCCCAAUUUCCAAACUCUCAUUUUCUCUCUCCUCCCACUCGAUUCACCGCAAAACACUCAGCAUUCCAAUUCACUUCGCCCAAAAACCUCCGCAAAUCCUACGUCGCAGAUUAAUAGCCGGAGCUUCCGUCGGAGAAUCCGACGAUAAUUCCGAUGAAAUUCUCGUCGGAGAAGAUGCGGCAGCUUUCGAGCUUAGCAGCCAGAAGCUAACUUCCUGGGUUUACUUUACCGUAAUUUUGGGGGUUGUGUUGUUCGCGCUCAAUUUUCUCUGGAUUGAUAAUUCUACCGGAUUUGGAAAGAAUUUUAUCACUGGUAUUGAGAGUGUUUUCCAAAGUCCUGAGGUUGUGAUGCUGAGCCUUACAGUCAUAUUUGCUGCUGUUCAUAGUGGAUUGGCUAGUUUUAGGAAUGUGGGUGAGAAAAUUAUAGGAGAACGUGCUUUCCGUGUCUUAUUUGCAGGAACAUCUCUUCCGCUAGCUGUUAGCACAGUGGUCUAUUUCAUUAACCACAGAUAUGAUGGGAUACAAUUGUGGCAGCUUCAAAGUGUUCCUGGAGUACAUCAGCUUGUGUGGUUAUCUUCUUUCAUUUCCUUCCUAUUCCUUUAUCCUUCAACCUUUAAUUUGUUAGAAGUGGCAGCAGUUGAUAAGCCCAAAUUGCAUCUUUGGGAAACAGGAAUCAUGAGAAUUACCCGCCAUCCACAGAUGGUUGGACAGGCAGUCUGGUGUCUGGCUCACACAGUCUGGAUUGGGAACUCAGUGGCAGUUGCUGCGUCUAUUGGCUUGAUUGGACAUCAUUUAUUUGGCGUUUGGAAUGGGGAUAGAAGGUUAGCUUUAAGAUAUGGGGAUGCUUUUGAGAUUGUGAAGAAAAGGACUAGUGUAAUUCCAUUCGCUGCUAUAAUUGAUGGGCGGCAAAGGCUACCAAAAGAUUAUUACAAAGAAUUUAUUCGGGUGCCAUAUAUAGCAGUGACUGCAGUCACCCUGGGUGCUUAUUUUGCUCACCCACUUAUGCAGUCAGCCAGUUUCCGGCUUCACUGGUAGUAGAGGCCAGGGUUAUUUUAAUGAUCAGGUGACAAAAUUCACGGUGUAACCACCAAUUCGUCUCUGGAGAAGACUUUUAAAGAGAGAAAGGGAAAGAUUUAAGCUGGGUAUAUAGCUGCAGACACUUCCGUCAUGUUUUCAAACAGAAUUGUACGAUGUUCCUUUGUGUGAAAGACUAUCUUGCACAACGUUGAAAUGUCAGAAAAUUGGAUACGACAAUGUACAACGAGUGAAGAGAUAAUGCAGCAACCGGUUGCCUUCCAUUGCAGCUUGGGGUGAGUUAAUAUAUACGUGCCUCGGGGGCAUAAACCAAGCGCGCUACCUGAUCUCACUUUCAAAUCCGGAGAAGUCACAACUCACAAGGGUCAUUUAACGGUCAAUGUAUCAUGUAGAAUCCACCAAUAUUUGUUGUUAUAGCAAGACCGUAAGUGGGCAAAACCAUGAGCAUGAUACUCCACAGCAAACUUGGCUCGUUCGUUCACCACCUUAUCGGUUGUACGCAAGUUUUCCGUCAUCUUCAACGCCCAGAUACUUGAACGGGGCGCCGCCGUAUGUUGCUUUCAGUGCAACAAAUGUUGGCAAAUGAACCUCACCUUCCAAGUUUGCCAUCACGUAAGUAACACACCUUUGGUUUUAGGAUCUUGAUUACACUUUUUUUUUUUUCUUUUUCUUUUACUGUGUCAAUAGAUCCAAGUCUAUUUAUUUGUUUAUUUUUAUGGGAAUAUUCUUUUAUAUUUUGGUCAAAUUUAAGCCAGAUCAUUAUAUGAUUUUAAAUGCUACCAAAGUCA
Spinacia oleracea (spinach) is the source of this 1940-nucleotide RNA transcript. It is a transcript of the gene named 15-cis-zeta-carotene isomerase, chloroplastic, with no coding region annotated. The record is from RefSeq and is a predicted model, not a curated record. The transcript has 7 exons. NCBI's taxonomy places the organism in Eukaryota, Viridiplantae, Streptophyta, Magnoliopsida, Caryophyllales, Amaranthaceae.